UCCGAGUUGACCCCGGCAGUCUCCCAUGAGUCCCCGGCAUUACCCGCUGGCAACAUGGAACGAGGGUUGCGCUCGUUGCGGGACUUAACCCAACAUCUCACGACACGAGCCGACGACAGCCAUGCAGCACCUGUCACUCAUCCAGCCGAACUGAAGGGAUCCAUCUCUGGAACCCGCGACCGGGAUGUCAAACGCUGGUAAGGUUCUGCGCGUUGCUUCGAAUUAAACCACAUGCUCCACCGCUUGUGCAGGCCCCCGUCAAUUUCUUUGAGUUUUAACCUUGCGGCCGUACUCCCCAGGCGGAUGACUUAAUGCGUUAGCUGCGCCACCGAAGGCCGAAGGCCCCCGACAGCUAGUCACCAUCGUUUACGGCGUGGACUAC
RNAcentral lists this unclassified non-coding RNA (382 nucleotides) under uncultured Sphingomonadaceae bacterium. Its description in RNAcentral is "contains 16S-23S intergenic spacer region". The record is from RNAcentral. Lineage: Bacteria; Pseudomonadati; Pseudomonadota; Alphaproteobacteria; Sphingomonadales; Sphingomonadaceae.